AAAAGUAAAUUCAUUCCUGUUCUGUCUAGCGGUAUCACAGCAGAGCUUGCUCUCGGGUGACGAGCGGCGGACGGGUGAGUAAUGUCUGGGAAACUGCCUGAUGGAGGGGGAUAACUACUGGAAACGGUAGCUAAUACCGCAUAAUGUCGCAAGACCAAAGUGGGGGACCUUCGGGCCUCAUGCCAUCAGAUGUGCCCAGAUGGGAUUAGCUAGUAGGUGGGGUAACGGCUCACCUAGGCGACGAUCCCUAGCUGGUCUGAGAGGAUGACCAGCCACACUGGAACUGAGACACGGUCCAGACUCCUACGGGAGGCAGCAGUGGGGAAUAUUGCACAAUGGGCGCAAGCCUGAUGCAGCCAUGCCGCGUGUGUGAAGAAGGCCUUCGGGUUGUAAAGCACUUUCAGCGGGGAGGAAGGCGAUAAGGUUAAUAACCUUGUCGAUUGACGUUACCCGCAGAAGAAGCACCGGCUAACUCCGUGCCAGCAGCCGCGGUAAUACG
This 499-nucleotide ribosomal RNA is filed under the name bacterium WICC B-45. RNAcentral describes it as "bacterial SSU rRNA". It matches the Rfam family "Bacterial small subunit ribosomal RNA", at positions 79 to 527 of the family's 1533-position model. The record is from RNAcentral.